CUUGGUCAUUUAGAGGAAGUAAAAGUCGUAACAAGGUUUCCGUAGGUGAACCUGCGGAAGGAUCAUUACUAGAGCAAAGGAUAGACAGCGCCCGCGGAGCCCUGCUCCCUGGGGCUACCCUACUUCGGUAAGGUUUAGAGUCGUCGGGCCUCUCGAAGAAGCUCGGUCCUGAACUCCACCCUUGAAUAAAUUACCUUUGUUGCUUUGGCGGGCCGCCUCGUGCCAGCGGCUUCGGCUGUUGCGUGCCCGCCAGAGGACCACAACUCUUGUUUUUAGUGAUGUCUGAGUACUAUAUAAUAGUUAAAACUUUCAACAACGGAUCUCUUGGUUCUGGCAUCGAUGAAGAACGCAGCGAAAUGCGAUAAGUAAUGUGAAUUGCAGAAUUCAGUGAAUCAUCGAAUCUUUGAACGCACAUUGCGCCCUCUGGUAUUCCGGGGGGCAUGCCUGUUCGAGCGUCAUUAUAACCACUCAAGCUCUCGCUUGGUAUUGGGGUUCGCGGUCUCGCGGCCCCUAAAAUCAGUGGCGGUGCCUGUCGGCUCUACGCGUAGUAAUACUCCUCGCGAUUGAGUCCGGUAGGUUUACUUGCCAGCAACCCCUAAUUUUUACAGGUUGACCUCGGAUCAGGUAGGGAUACCCGCUGAACUUAAGCAUAUCAAUAAGCGGAGGAAAAGAAACCAACAGGGACUACCUCAGUAACGGCGAGUGAAGCGGUAACAGCUCAAAUUUGAAAGCUGGCUCUUUUAGGGUCCGCGUUGUAAUUUGUAGAAGAUGCUUCGGGUGUAGCUCCGGUCUAAGUUCCUUGGAACAGGACGUCAUAGAGGGUGAGAAUCCCGUAUGUGACUGGGUGCUUUCGCUCAUGUGAAGUUCUUUCGACGAGUCGAGUUGUUUGGGAAU
This 894-nucleotide small RNA is filed under the name uncultured Mycochaetophora. Its description in RNAcentral is "eukaryotic LSU rRNA". The stretch from base 611 to 894 matches the Rfam family "Eukaryotic large subunit ribosomal RNA", at positions 1 to 281 of the family's 3401-position model. Lineage: Eukaryota; Fungi; Ascomycota; Leotiomycetes; Helotiales. The record is from RNAcentral.